This 115-nucleotide ribosomal RNA is filed under the name uncultured bacterium. Its description in RNAcentral is "partial 16S ribosomal RNA". It matches the Rfam family "Bacterial small subunit ribosomal RNA", at positions 1358 to 1482 of the family's 1533-position model. The record is from RNAcentral.
UACGGUGAAUACGUUCCCGGACCUUGUACACACCGCCCGUCAAGCCAUGGAAGCCGGGUGUACCUAAAGUCGGUAACCGCAAGGAGCCGCCUAGGGUAAACUGGUGACUGGGGCU